Molecule: ribosomal RNA, 933 nt
Filed under: Triticum aestivum (bread wheat)
Lineage: Eukaryota; Viridiplantae; Streptophyta; Magnoliopsida; Poales; Poaceae
Description: partial small subunit ribosomal RNA
Source: RNAcentral
AUGGCUGGUUGGAGGGGGAAGUUACUGUCCUACUCUGCUAGACUAACCCUCAUCAAGGCCUGUUUGGCCAGUAUCCCUGUGUAUCUACUGUCCUUCUUUAAGUUUCCUAAAUGGGCUCUAGACUUAAUUAAUAGUCAGCUAGCUCAUUGUCUAUGGAGUGACUUUGAGGGGAACAGAAAGCUUCAUCUGGCCAAUUGGCACUUGGUCUGUAUGAAGAAAGAACAUGGUGGGCUUGGGGUCCCUAACAUUAGGGAUCUCAACCUAUGUCUAUUAGGCAGUUGGGUCAAGAGAUAUGCCCAAUAUGAGGGCAAGAUCUGGAAAACCAUCAUAGACAAAAAAUAUAUUAGAAAUGCUCCUAAUAUAUUUGCCUGUAGGCCACAAACCUCCUCAAGCUUUUGGCAAGGAGUUAUGUGGGCUGCUAAAGCUCUUAAGUUCGGCUAUAGAUGGGUAGUAGGAAAUGGGAGGAAAAUUAGAUUUUGGGAGGAUAUCUGGUUUGGAACCUCCCCACUCUCUGUCCAGUUCUGGCCUUUAUACUCCAUUUGUCAUCAACAUUGUGUGACAAUUUCAGAAGUUUGGGAUGGGAGUAACAUUAAGCUUACUUUUAGGAGGGUUUUUACCUCUACUAUGAUGGAAGAAUGGUACUGCCUUGAACAAAUUAUAAAAGAGACUGCUCUUAAUGGAGAUGAGGAUGCUAUGGUCUGGCAGUAUGAAUCUAAGGGAAUUUACUCUUCUAGCUCUCUCUAUGCCAUCAUCAACUUUAGAGGGGUGACACCUGUCUAUAUUCCCUCUGUUUGGUCUAUUGUUGUGCCACCUAGAAUCCAAGUUUUUCUCUGGCUUCUAGCACACAAUAAACUUAUGACUAAAAAUAAUUUACUUAAAAGGGGAUUGAUAGGAACCCAGAGUGUUUAUUCUGUUCUGAGCAGGAGACUGUAG